CAAGACAAACAGCAGCUACUACAGAUUAGCACUAGUGUAUUCUGAGACUCUUUUCCUUCCUCUCCACCUACAUUCAUAACCUCAGACAUAGGUUGGUAUGUUAACUUUGAACAACAACAAAAGUGUAAAGAAUUACAAACUAAAGUAGUCAAUUGCUGGUAUUAAACAUUACCAUUUCUGUAACUAAACAAACAGCCAACAUUAAUAAGUAAACAUGUAUUUCAACACAGAAGUCUUCAAACCUCAGUAACAUCUGCUUCCUUCCUUCUCCUCUGUAAAGCCAGAAAUUGUAAAGAAAGUUAAGUUUCCCUUCAAGGAACAGCAGAGCGCUAUUCAGUCUGGUUCAUGUAUCUGUCAUAGAUCCUCUCUCUGUUUGGUUGCACGGUUGUCCUCAUGGCUGCUUUUAGAUUUCUCUGCGUCUUUUUUCUUCUUCGCUUUCUCAGGUUUGGUUUUGUUCCUUCCUUUCUCACUUCCAUCCGCUCCUUUGCCCGGAUAAACCUGGCCUUCCAGAGUAACAUCCGCACACCUUUCUUGACUUAUCAGGAAGUCUUUGAUCUCCCAGGCAUAACCGCCAUCACGAAGCAUAAAGAUUGCACGAUUGGAGCCAACAAUAAACCUUUGUACAUCAUAGUUUGCAUUGAAGAGACUGCCCUGCCACAAGCUAGUAAUUUCUUCUGUCUCUUUUUCCGUGGGAUUUCCUGACACUGUGACAAACAUCAUCAAAGUCUUCCCUUUUUUUGUCAGUUUCAGGAUACUUUCAGGCUUGCCUGGAUCAAUUUUUGAGAAAUCUAUUGGUGCCGGAGGCCUCUUGUGUUCAGGAAGAUCCCCCUCCUCAAUGUCAUCAUCUUUCUCCCACUGCUCCAGCAGCCGGGCCAUGUCCGCGUCGUUGUAGUCCCGAAUGUCUUUCUUCUUGGCCGGCCCCGCCCGUCGCUUCCCCUCCGGCUCCUCGGCGUGGGCCGCCGCGCACAGCCAUAACGCCAGGCCCAGCGCGGCCCAACGCGCGGCCGCCGCCAUCUUGUCCGGCAGCAGACGGCUUUUGCCUUGGGGACUCCAAUGGACUCCAGUAAGCUGCAACAGUGGAACAGGAGGAAGCAUGAGAGUAACAGCAGGGUUGGUACACAGAGAGGGCACCGCGGGCAGCGGGAUGGACUCUACUGAGUGAACACCCAGUGCAGUUCUGUCAUUGCAUCCAGGCCUGAGGCGAACCAGGAGCCCGCUGCGCUGAUGACACAGAACAACAGCAGCCAGUAGGCUGGGGUGUGGGUUUAGGAUGCUUUCUGGAUCCAGGACUUCCUAAUGGAUUAAGGCCCAGUGGGACUGGCAGCUUGUGAACUUCUGGGAGAUGGCUGCCAAGGGCACACGCCAUCAAACAAAACUGGAGUCUCCAAGCCUUAGCAAGCAGUGGAGGAUAUGGGAUGCAAGACUGCAGUGCCCUGAUAAGCAUCCACCCUUCUCUGCAACCUCCAUCCCACAGAUUAUUGUUUUAUAACAUUUCAGAAAUACCACCAGUAUGGCUGAGAAACAGGAAGCUGUUAGGCCAUAGCUAUUCAUAGAGCUUGUUAAAUACACAAUAACUGGAACAGGGUUUUAGUUAAGUGCCUCCCACAAAGCUGUCCUGUAAGUCACUAAUGAGCACAUUUGCUCAGUGACUUCUCAUUGAAUAUAACAGAUAUCAUAUAUACUACAUCCCACUGCCCUGAUUAAUGAGGUUUUACUGAAGUAUGUUCCUGCUAAGUUUGUUAUUAUUGGAUCAUGCUUAAAUUCACUAAAAUAAAAAAAAAUCUCAACUUUUGGAAUGUUGGACUAAGCAGUAUAAAAAUACAUUUUUAUUGAAUUUCUACUGGGAAAUAUUUUCUUCAACUGUUUUCUGUUAUUAGAGCAAACCAGGCCAACUUGACAUUCAUUAAUAUCUGGUGCUACGUUCACAUGCAGAUCUCAGAAGUAAUCCAAUUCCCUUUGUUAAGUGAAUAAGUGGUCCAGUUUUUCCAGCAUGGCACCAAACAAUCCUAUGUUAUCUGUCAUGCAUAUAAAAACUUCAAUUUGAAAGGAGAGUAUUUCUCAUGCUUGGCUCUAAAUGUGCAACUACCAAGCAGCGUUCUGUGCUCGUUUGAAGAACUUGUUUGAAGUACACAUGCUCUCCGUGGAGUCAGCUGCGGUUCACACACCUACUCAGCCUCUCUUUAUACUCCAUUGUUCUUUCCUGUACAAGAAACAAAAGCCAUGCAGCUACAAAUACACAUCACUCACAGAGCAAAUUAAAUUGAAUUAUCUUUUUACUGAAACAUGCUGUGUUUCCUUCAGAAACAUACAUAUCAUACAAAUAUGCUUUUUUACCUCAAGCAUUCUCGUAUGCCUUAGAAGUUUUGAUAGUCUUAGCAGCUAACACUAUUAUGGUUACAGAACAGAACAUAUCUGAUAAUAAAUGGCUACUGUCAUUGUGAAUUGCAAAUACAAAGCGUUCACUGCUUUAUUUUGUAAGUCCCAUUUGUCAUGCCAGGAGAUGUCUCAAGCUGUAGGUGUCAUUUCAUCUUCUAAAACAUACAAUUUUUAUUUUGGUAUUUUCAAUGAUAACAUCACAAUUCAAUAAGAAGUGCAAAUCUACUUCCCC
Molecule: long non-coding RNA, 2608 nt
Filed under: Gallus gallus (chicken)
Lineage: Eukaryota; Metazoa; Chordata; Aves; Galliformes; Phasianidae
Source: RNAcentral